This 1195-nucleotide long non-coding RNA is filed under the name Chrysemys picta bellii (western painted turtle). RNAcentral describes it as "lncRNA (ENSCPBG00000002525.1)". The record is from RNAcentral. Lineage: Eukaryota; Metazoa; Chordata; Testudines; Emydidae.
CGCUCAAGGAGAUAGAGGCUCAGAUUAUCUUUAGUGGGAUUCUGCCUGUUCCUAGGGAAGGGCAGCAAAGGGCUGAUAGGAUUGUGAGAAUAAAUAGUUGGCUAAGGGAGUGGUGCUAUAAGGAGGGCUUUGGGAUGUAUGGCCACUGGGAGGCUUUUGGGGACAGACAGCUGUUCUCGCGGGAUGGACUUCACCUGAGUAGGGAAGGAAAUAGACUUCUGGGAGGGAGGCUGGCUCAUCUUAUCAAAAGAGCUUUAAACUAGGAAGUUUGGGGAGACGGUUGGGAGAUGUACAGUUAAUCUCCACGCCAGAUUCCAACAUUGAAAUGGUGAGUGAGAUAAGAGGAGAUAUAGCCAGGGAGAUGAGAUUGGACAUAAGAAGGAUAGGGGGGAAGGACACAAAGAUGCCUGUAACAUAUAGUGUUACUAAUGGGAGACAGGAUAAACAACAUACAUUAGGGUGCUUAUACACCAAUGCGAGAAGCCUAGGUAAUAAAAUGGAGGAAUUGGAGCUCUUGGUCCGAGAAUUGCAACCGGAUAUCGUAGGAAUAACUGAAACGUGGUGGAACGGCAGUCACGACUGGAAUACAGGUAUGGAGGGGUAUGCGCUGUUUAGGAAAGACCGGAACAAAGGUAAGGGUGGCGGGGUGGCAUUGUAUGCCAAUAGUGAGAUAAGCUGUAAAGAAAUAAUAGUUGAUGGAAUAGAUAACACGGAAUCCAUCUGGGCAAUACUCACACUGGGUAAAAGGACUACUAGAGCCUCCCCGGGGAUAGUGCUUGGGGUGUGCUAUAGACUGCCGGGAUCGACCCAGGAUAUGGAUAAAGAACUAUUUAAUGUGUUUAGAAAAGUAAAUACUAAUAGGAACUGUGUAAUUAUGGGGGACUUUAACUUCCCGGAUAUAGAUUGGGGAACAAACGCUAGUAGCAAUAAUAGGGCUCAGAUGUUCCUAGAUGUGCUUGCUGAUCAUUUCCUUCAUCAAGUGGUAGCCGAACCGACGAGAGGGGAGGCCAUCUUAGAUUUGAUUUUGGUGACUAGUGAGGACCUCGUUGAGGAAGUGGUAGUAGGGGACAACUUGGGCUCCAGCGAUCAUGAGCUAAUCCACUUUAAACUAAAUGGGAGGAGUAACAGAAUUAAAUCAAAGACUAGGGUUUAUAAUUUUAAAAAGGCCAAUUUUAACAAACUAAGGGGACUGGUA